Molecule: long non-coding RNA, 1790 nt
Organism: Heterocephalus glaber (naked mole-rat)
Lineage: Eukaryota; Metazoa; Chordata; Mammalia; Rodentia; Bathyergidae
Source: Ensembl
GGAAGGCCAAGUGCACGGCUAGGUCACAGAGCUGGUGCAGGGUCACUGUGAGACUGAGGUCCCAGACUAUCUGACUCCAAGCCUGCUGCGCGCUGAGGGUGGGCGUUAGGAGAGCCCGGGGGUUGGAGAAGACAGGCCUAGUGCUCCCCAGGAAUGAGGCGUUUGGGAUGGGCCCAGAAGGGACCCUGCAGGCAGACAGAUCUGGGGUUUGGGUUCUGGCUUUGCGACUGACCAGCUCUGCUUGGCUGAAUAAUGAUGCAGGGAAGUCCACGUCGGGAGCAGCCGAGCCUUUGGAAGGAACCAGUGCUCCUGACACCUGGACCUCAGACCGGUGGAACUGAUCUUGGACUUCUGAAUUCCAGAACCGUGAGGAGAGAAAUCUGCUUUGUUUUCAGCCCUACCUCUGUGGUCCCUUGUUAUAGAAGCAGUGGGAAAUAGCUCAGCAGACAUUUGUCCUUGGGCUGGUGGGGGACCAUGUCUGAGCCUCAAUUUUGCCAUCUGUGACAGGGGAUGAGAGUGACAUCGCUCACACCAUGGCAUGAGGGUAGAGGGGAGACAGAAAAGAUUCUUCCAGUGUGUGCUGAUUGAAUAUUAGGUAUUACUGCUGCUGUUCUUUUUUAAAAAAUUAAUGCUCGCAUGAAAAUAUGUGAGACUUCUAAUAAAAAGCAGUGCAUGAACAAGUUCUUGUUGAACUAAUCCCCAGCCUCUUUUUGGGGUCCUUACACUGUUUUCUGUUGCAGACCUGUACUGACCUGUGGAUUUCCUAUGAUAAUAUCCCAGCAUGCUGCUUGAGUGUAGCACACAGCUGUUACUUUGAGGAGAGGCUUGCAGACCCCAACAUGACAAGGGACCUGCCCCAGGGAGAGGGGCUGGCCUCGUGUCCCCAGCCAUCUGGUGAACCCUGACACAGCCUGCUCGAGGCCUCCAGCGGCUCACUCCCCAGACCCGGUGCCAGCCGUUCCCACACCUCCUGCCACUCGGCCCAGCUUGCUCUGACCACCAGAGAAGUGGUCUCCAUGGCGACCUUGGGCCUUAAGGAAUCCUAACACAUCCACUGAUGCUGACAAAAGUCUCUGAGAAUCCAAGCCGGCUCUCCUGUAUGCAGGUGUAAUGACCCAGUUUCCAGUGCUGAGGGUUGAACCCAGGCCCUUGACCAUGCUAGCACCAUGUGUCACACGGAGGGAUCAUGGUUUAUUCAGGGGCUCAUCGGCUGAUGGACAUUGUGCUGUUUCUACCUUAUUGACCAACACAGCCUUCAGACCCGGAUCCAGCGUCUCUUCCUCCGGAAGUCUUCCCUGACUCCCUGGGAUGGGUCAUGGCUCCACUGCACACGGCCCCGCCACAUGGUGUAAUCUAAUGUUUGUGCGAUUAUUCAAUUAGCAUCUCUGCACGGGCCGCCUGGAAGAUCCAUGACAGCGCCGGCCAUGUUUGUCUUGCCCUCCUUUCUUCACCUGUGCCCAGCAAAGAGCCAGGCACAAACGUGUUUGUGGGAGAAUCUUCGAGCCAUCUCUGAGAUCAGUCUGCCUCACAGGUGGACAACGGUCUGCAGAGAGCCCCCAGAAUGACCAAAGAUGGUUUGGGAAAAGUCCGAAACUCCUCAAUUUAACUUCUGUGUAAACUGAGCUUCCCACUGCCUCUGUUGCGAGAAAGAAUCAGCAGUGAAUGCUUUCCGAGCUGCCCUGGGCCCGCACCUUCAGCACUCUGUACAGCUUUUGUUCCUGUGGGCUCAGAGCAGAAUACCAAUGUGGAUUUAUAUGCAGACAUUUGUCUUCCCUGUAGCCUUAUGAGCA